AUACGGAGGGGACUAGCGUCGUUCGGAAUUACUGGGCGUAAAGAGUUCGUAGGCGGACUGAUAAGUAAGAGGUGAAAUCCCAGGGCUCAACCCUGGAACUGCCUUUUAAACUGUCAGUCUAGAGACCGGAAGAGGUUAGGGGAAUACCUAGUGUAGAGGUGAAAUUCGUAGAUAUUAGGUGGAACACCAGUGGCGAAGGCGCCUAACUGGUCCGGUACUGACGCUGAGGAACGAAAGCGUGGGGAGCAAACAGGAUUAGAAACCCUUGUAGUCC
This 274-nucleotide ribosomal RNA is filed under the name uncultured bacterium. Its description in RNAcentral is "partial 16S ribosomal RNA". It matches the Rfam family "Bacterial small subunit ribosomal RNA", at positions 523 to 796 of the family's 1533-position model. The record is from RNAcentral.